This 253-nucleotide ribosomal RNA is filed under the name uncultured bacterium. RNAcentral's name for it is "partial 16S ribosomal RNA". It matches the Rfam family "Bacterial small subunit ribosomal RNA", at positions 524 to 776 of the family's 1533-position model. RNAcentral also lists the same sequence under 1 other name. The record is from RNAcentral.
UACGUAGGGGGCGAGCGUUGUCCGGAAUUACUGGGCGUAAAGGGCGCGCAGGCGGCCGUGUAAGUCCGCUGUGAAAGACCGGGGCUCAACCCCGGGGUGUCAGCGGGGACUGCACGGCUGGAGUCCCGGAGAGGGAGGCGGAAUACCUGGUGUAGCGGUGGAAUGCGUAGAGAUCAGGUGGAACACCGAUGGCGAAGGCAGCCUCCUGGACGGGUACUGACGCUGAGGCGCGAAAGCGUGGGGAGCGAACGGG